UUGAAAAAUCAGUUCUCAUACAAUCAUCAAAGUUAAGCAAUGUUGGGUCUGGUUAGUACCUAGAUGGGUGGCCACUUAAGAAUACCAGGUGCUGUAA
Non-coding RNA from Acanthosepion pharaonis, 97 nucleotides. NCBI's taxonomy places the organism in Eukaryota, Metazoa, Mollusca, Cephalopoda, Sepiida, Sepiidae. The record is from the annotation of a GenBank genome assembly.